GCUACUGUGGCUCAGUUGGUAGAGCGAUUCACUCGUAAUGAAUAGGUCGUCGGUUCGAAUCCGAUCAGUAGCU
This is a non-coding RNA of Clostridium sp. CAG:127, 73 nucleotides long. Lineage: Bacteria; Bacillati; Bacillota; Clostridia; Eubacteriales; Clostridiaceae. The record is from Rfam.